RNAcentral lists this ribosomal RNA (1623 nucleotides) under Triticum aestivum (bread wheat). RNAcentral describes it as "partial small subunit ribosomal RNA". Lineage: Eukaryota; Viridiplantae; Streptophyta; Magnoliopsida; Poales; Poaceae. The record is from RNAcentral.
AUGCAUCAAGACGGAGCAGGCCAACUCUUGGUGAAGGACGAGGAGAUUAAGCAUAGAUGGCGGGAGUACUUCGACAAGUUGUUCAAUGGGGAGAAUGAGAGUUCUACCAUUGAACUGGACGACUCCUUUGAUGAGACUAGCAUGCGUUUUGUGCGGCGAAUCCAGGAGUUUGAGGUCAAGGAGGCUUUAAAAAGGAUGAAAGGAGGCAAGGCGAUGGGCCCUGAUUGUAUCCCCAUUGAGGUGUGGAAAGGUCUCGGGGACAUAGCGAUAGUAUGGCUAACCAAGCUUUUCAACCUCAUUUUUCGGGCAAACAAGAUGCCAGAAGAAUGGAGACGGAGUAUAUUAGUACCAAUCUUCAAGAACAAGGGGGAUGUUCAGAGUUGUACUAAUUACCGUGGAAUUAAGCUGAUGAGCCAUACAAUGAAGCUAUGGGAGAGAGUCAUUGAGCACCGCUUAAGAAGAAUGACAAGCGUGACCAAAAAUCAGUUUGGUUUCAUGCCUGGGAGGUCGACCAUGGAAGCCAUUUUCUUGGUACGACAACUUAUGGAGAGAUAUAGGGAGCAAAAGAAGGACUUGCAUAUGGUGUUCAUUGAUUUGGAGAAGGCCUAUGAUAAGAUACCGCGGAAUGUCAUGUGGUGGGCCUUGGAGAAACACAAAGUCCCAGCAAAGUACAUUACCCUCAUCAAGGACAUGUACGAUAAUGUUGUGACAAGUGUUCGAACAAGUGAUGUCGACACUGAUGACUUCCCGAUUAAGAUAGGACUGCAUCAGGGGUCAGCUUUGAGCCCUUAUCUUUUUGCAUUGGUGAUGGAUGAGGUCACAAGGGAUAUACAAGGAGAUAUCCCAUGGUGUAUGCUCUUUGCGGAUGAUGUGGUGCUAGUUGACGAUAGUCGGACGGGGGCAAAUAGGAAGUUAGAGUUAUGGAGACAAACCUUGGAGUCGAAAGGGUUUAGGCUUAGUAGGACUAAAACCGAGUACAUGAUGUGCGGUUUCAGUACUAGGUGUGAGGAGGAGGGGGUUAGCCUUGAUGGCCAGGUGGUACCUAAGAAGGACACCUUUCGGUAUUUGGGGUCAAUGCUGCAGGAGGAUGGGGGUAUUGAUGAAGAUGUGAACCAUCGAGUCAAAGCCGGAUGGAUGAAGUGGCGCCAAGCUUCUGGCAUUCUCUGUGACAAGAGAGUGCGACAAAAGCUAAAAGGCAAGUUCUACAGGACGGCGGUUCGACCCGCAAUGUUGUAUGGCGCUGAGUGUUGGCCGACUAAAAGGCGACAUGUUCAACAGUUAGGUGUGGCGGAGAUGCGUAUGUUGAGAUGGAUGUGUGGCCACACGAGGAAGGAUCGAGUCCGGAAUGAUGAUAUACGAGAUAGAGUUGGGGUAGCACCAAUUGAAGAGAAGCUUGUCCAACAUCGUCUGAGAUGGUUUGGGCAUAUUCAGCGCAGGCCUCCAGAAGCUCCAGUGCAUAGUGGACGGCUAAAGCGCGCGGAGAAUGUCAAGAGAGGGCGGGGUAGACCGAAUUUGACAUGGGAGGAGUCCGUUAAGACAGACCUGAAGGAUUGGAGUAUCACCAAAGAGCUAGCUAUGGACAGGGGUGCGUGGAAGCUUGCUAUCCAUGUGCCAGAGCCAUGA